UGGGGAAUAUUGCAUAAUGGGGGAAACCCUGAUGCAGCGACGCCGCGUGUGCGAAGAAGGCUUUCGAGUCGUAAAGCUCUGUCCUAUGAGAAGAUAAUGACGGUAUCAUAGGAGGAAGCCCUGGCUAAAUACGUGCCAGCAGCCGCGGUAAUACGUAUGGGGCGAGCGUUGUCCGGAAUUAUUGGGCGUAAAGGGUACGUAGGCGGUUUUUUAAGUCAGGUGUCAAAGCGUGGAGCUUAACUCCAUUAAGUACUUGAAACUGAAAGACUUGAGUGAAGGAGAGGAAAGUGGAAUUCCUAGUGUUGCGGUGAAAUGCGUAGAUAUUAGGAGGAAUACCGGUGGCGAAGGCGACUUUCUGGACUUUUACUGACGCUCAGGUACGAACGCGUGAGGAGCAAACAGG
This 403-nucleotide ribosomal RNA is filed under the name Verrucomicrobiota bacterium. RNAcentral's name for it is "Verrucomicrobia bacterium partial 16S ribosomal RNA". It matches the Rfam family "Bacterial small subunit ribosomal RNA", at positions 355 to 776 of the family's 1533-position model. Lineage: Bacteria; Pseudomonadati; Verrucomicrobiota. The record is from RNAcentral.